RNAcentral lists this long non-coding RNA (870 nucleotides) under Medicago truncatula (barrel medic). RNAcentral describes it as "long non-coding RNA (MTRU_LNC001827)". Lineage: Eukaryota; Viridiplantae; Streptophyta; Magnoliopsida; Fabales; Fabaceae. The record is from RNAcentral.
CUCAUUCUAAUGUCAAGUUCCUGCCACCACUGCAAAAGUAGGAGAUGCAUGAUUAAUUCAACUUCGAUUUCACGUUUAUCCUAUAACAUUUGAUUAGAAACAGUUAUGGUCAUAUAAAUAUGAUAAAGGAUGAAAGAUAACCUUAUCAACAUAUUCAUUAGAAACAAUAACUGAGACUUGUGAAUGAAGUAAGCAAUCCUAAUGGAAGCUAAAAAACACAGGAAGAAGACAAAGACACAACUAGAAGGUUCAGAAGGAUUAUCUCCAGUUUCAUGUUUUGAAAUACAAAAAAGUAUGUUGGAGCUACUCAGACGUUGAACUCGCUUGACAUGGACUGUUCUAUUUUCACAUCACUCCAUGAAACCAUUUACAAGAAAUUCAAAUUCCUCAUGAGGCACAUUACAAUUCAUUUUUCCUGUUUACCGCCGUUGAUGAUUGUGAAUUACAGCAAUUGAUGUUUCAGUUUCUUCGAUAACUAUCUAUUAUUCAUUGCUAGAAAAAUAUUCCUUUUAAUGUAAACAGUCUGAAUUGGUUUUUUGUAGAAUGAUGACCAUUGUAAUUUGUAUAUAUGGGACGAUGAACUUGACUCACCUAGAGUAAAAAGCUUGCUUCGAAGAAUUGUAGAAAAAAAACUCCAAGGCUGAAGGUGGCUGUAGCAAGUAUCAAAACAUGGGUUCAAUUUCGUCUAACUUUGGCUCCAGCAACACUGAAGUUCCAUCUCCAAAUGUUGAGGGUGUGUGCAAGAAGUGUGUACUGUAGUCUGAAUUUGGAAAGGAGUUAGGCAAGGAGUAUGGGAAGGAAACGGCCUCGAAGAAGCAUAUGAAAACAAUGAAGAAGCUGCAAUAUGAAAGGAAGAAAAAUGCAGGAAUG